This 449-nucleotide ribosomal RNA is filed under the name uncultured bacterium. Its description in RNAcentral is "partial 16S ribosomal RNA". It matches the Rfam family "Bacterial small subunit ribosomal RNA", at positions 329 to 793 of the family's 1533-position model. The record is from RNAcentral.
UGCCAGACUCCUACGGGAGGCAGCAGUGGGGGAUAUUGCACAAUGGGGGAAACCCUGAUGCAGCGACGCCGCGUGGGCGAAGAAGUAUUUCGGUAUGUAAAGCCCUAUCAGCAGGGAAGAAGAAAUGACGGUACCUGAGUAAGAAGCACCGGCUAAAUACGUGCCAGCAGCCGCGGUAAUACGUAUGGUGCAAGCGUUAUCCGGAUUUACUGGGUGUAAAGGGGGCGCAGACGGCAGCGCAAGCCACGAGUGAAAGCCCGGGGCCCAACCCCGGGACUGCUCUUGGAACUGCGCGGCUGGAGUGCAGGAGGGGCAGGCGGAAUUCCUGGUGUAGCGGUGAAAUGCGUAGAUAUCAGGAGGAACACCGGUGGCGAAGGCGGCCUGCUGGACUGCGACUGACGUUGAGGCCCGAAAGCGUGGGGAGCAAACAGGAUUAGAUACCCGAGUAC